This 554-nucleotide ribosomal RNA is filed under the name Arthroleptides yakusini (southern torrent frog). RNAcentral describes it as "Petropedetes yakusini (southern torrent frog) partial 16S ribosomal RNA". It matches the Rfam family "Bacterial large subunit ribosomal RNA", at positions 1832 to 2597 of the family's 2925-position model. The record is from RNAcentral. Lineage: Eukaryota; Metazoa; Chordata; Amphibia; Anura; Petropedetidae.
CGCCUCUUGUUUACCUAUAAGAGGUCCAGCCUGCCCAGUGAUUUAAUUCAACGGCCGCGGUAUCCUAACCGUGCAAAGGUAGCGUAAUCACUUGUCCCUUAAAUAGAGACCUGUAUCAAUGGCAUCACGAAGGUUAUACUGUCUCCCUGCUCCAAUCAGUGAAACUGAUCUUCCUGUGAAAAAGCAGGAAUGCUUUCAUAAGACGAGAAGACCCCAUGGAGCUUUAAGCCCAGCAACAAUCUCACACCUACAAUUCCUUAGACUUCAGGAGAAUCUGCCCGCUGGCUUUAGGUUGGGGCGACCACGAAGUAUAACUUAACCUUCAUGACAAAUGGAAUUUUUCCUUAUCUUAGAGCCACCACUCCAAGAAUUAAUAAUUUAAUGUAAUAUGACCCGAUUUAUUCGAUCAACGGACCAAGUUACCCUGGGGAUAACAGCGCAAUCCAUUUCAAGAGUUCCUAUCGACAAAUGGGUUUACGACCUCGAUGUUGGAUCAGGGUAUCCUAGUGGUGCAGCCGCUACUAACGGUUCGUUUGUUCAACGAUUAAAACCCU